Molecule: ribosomal RNA, 254 nt
Filed under: uncultured bacterium
Lineage: Bacteria
Description: partial 16S ribosomal RNA
Rfam family: Bacterial small subunit ribosomal RNA
Source: RNAcentral
UACGGAGGGAGCGAGCGUUGUCCGAAGUUACUGGGCGUAAAGCGCGCGUAGGCGGGAAAUUAAGUGAGAAGUGAAAGGCUGGGGCUCAACCCCAUGCAGUGCUCCUCAUACUGGUUUUCUUGAGGGUGGUAGAGAGAAGUGGAAUGGCUGGUGUAGCGGUGAAAUGCGUAGAUAUCAGUCGGAACACCAGUGGCGAAGGCGGCUUCUUGGGCCAUUACUGACGCUGAGGCGCGAAAGCGUGGGGAGCGAACAGG